RNAcentral lists this ribosomal RNA (250 nucleotides) under uncultured bacterium. Its description in RNAcentral is "partial 16S ribosomal RNA". It matches the Rfam family "Bacterial small subunit ribosomal RNA", at positions 524 to 773 of the family's 1533-position model. The record is from RNAcentral.
UACGAACUGCGCGAACGUUAUUCGGAAUCACUGGGCUUAAAGGGUGCGUAGGCGGCCUGUUAAGUAGGGUGUGAAAUUUGUCGGCUCAACCGGCAAACUGCAUUCUAAACUGGCAGGCUUGAGUGAGUCAGGGGUGUGCGGAACUUCCGGUGGAGCGGUGAAAUGCGUUGAUAUCGGAAGGAACGCCGGUGGCGAAAGCGGCACACUGGGGCUUUUCUGACGCUGAGGCACGAAAGCUAGGGGAGCGAAC